UACGUAGGGUGCAAGCGUUGUCCGGAAUUAUUGGGCGUAAAGAGCUCGUAGGCGGUCUGUUACGUCGGCUGUGAAAACCUGGGGCUCAACUCCGGGCCUGCAGCCGAUACGGGCAGACUAGAGUUCGGCAGGGGAGACUGGAAUUCCUGGUGUAGCGGUGGAAUGCGCAGAUAUCAGGAGGAACACCGGUGGCGAAGGCGGGUCUCUGGGCAGUAACUGACGCUGAGGAGCGAAAGCGUGGGGAGCGAACAGG
This 253-nucleotide ribosomal RNA is filed under the name uncultured bacterium. Its description in RNAcentral is "partial 16S ribosomal RNA". It matches the Rfam family "Bacterial small subunit ribosomal RNA", at positions 524 to 776 of the family's 1533-position model. The record is from RNAcentral.